This 443-nucleotide ribosomal RNA is filed under the name uncultured bacterium. RNAcentral's name for it is "partial 16S ribosomal RNA". It matches the Rfam family "Bacterial small subunit ribosomal RNA", at positions 338 to 795 of the family's 1533-position model. The record is from RNAcentral.
CCUACGGGAGGCAGCAGUGGGGAAUAUUGGACAAUGGGGGGAACCCUGAUCCAGCGACGCCGCGUGAGUGAAGAAGUAUUUCGGUAUGUAAAGCUCUAUCAGCAGGGAAGAAAGAAAUGACGGUACCUGAAUAAGAAGCACCGGCUAACUACGUGCCAGCAGCCGCGGUACUACGUAGGGGGCAAGCGUUAUCCGGAUUUUCUGGGUGGAAAGGGAGCGUAGACGGCGAUGCAAGUCUGAAGUGAAAGGCCGGGGCCCAACCCCUGGACUGCUUUGGAAACUGUAUGGCUUGAGUGCAGGAGAGGUAAGUGGAAUUCCGAGUGUAGCGGUGAAAUGCGUAGAUAUUAGGAGGAACACCAGUGGCGAAGGCGGCUUACUGGACUGUAACUGACGUUGAGGCUCGAAAGCGUGGGGAGCAAACAGGAUUAGAUACCCUAGUAGUC